RNAcentral lists this ribosomal RNA (396 nucleotides) under uncultured Limnohabitans sp. RNAcentral describes it as "bacterial SSU rRNA". It matches the Rfam family "Bacterial small subunit ribosomal RNA", at positions 1 to 409 of the family's 1533-position model. The record is from RNAcentral. Lineage: Bacteria; Pseudomonadati; Pseudomonadota; Betaproteobacteria; Burkholderiales; Comamonadaceae.
UCGAGAGUUUGAUCCUGGCUCAGAUUGAACGCUGGCGGAAUGCUUUAUACAUGCAAGUCGAACGGUAGAGGGGGCAACCCCUUGAGAGUGGCGAACGGGUGAGUAAUAUAUCGGAACGUGCCCAGUCGUGGGGGAUAACGUAGCGAAAGUUACGCUAAUACCGCAUACGAUCUAAGGAUGAAAGCGGGGGAUCGCAAGACCUCGCGCGAUUGGAGCGGCCGAUAUCAGAUUAGGUAGUUGGUGGGGUAAAGGCUCACCAAGCCAACGAUCUGUAGCUGGUCUGAGAGGACGACCAGCCACACUGGAACUGAGACACGGUCCAGACUCCUACGGGAGCAGCAGUGGGGAAUUUUGGACAAUGGGCGAAGCCUGAUCCAGCAAUGCCGCGUGAGUGAU